GACGAACGCUGGCGGCGUGCUUAACACAUGCAAGUCGAGCGGUAAGGCCCUUUCGGGGGUACACGAGCGGCGAACGGGUGAGUAACACGUGGGUGACCUGCCCUUAGCUCUGGGAUAAGCCUGGGAAACUGGGUCUAAUACCGGAUAUGACUCCAUGACGCAUGUUGUGGGGUGGAAAGCCUUGUGCGGCUAGGGAUGGGCCCGCGGCCUAUCAGCUUGUUGGUGGGGUGAUGGCCUACCAAGGCGACGACGGGUAGCCGGCCUGAGAGGGCGACCGGCCACACUGGGACUGAGACACGGCCCAGACUCCUACGGGAGGCAGCAGUGGGGAAUCUUGCGCAAUGGGCGAAAGCCUGACGCAGCGACGCCGCGUGAGGGAUGACGGCCUCGGUGUAAC
Molecule: ribosomal RNA, 397 nt
Filed under: uncultured bacterium
Lineage: Bacteria
Description: bacterial SSU rRNA
Rfam family: Bacterial small subunit ribosomal RNA
Source: RNAcentral